GUGGGGAAUAUUGGACAAUGGGGGCAACCCUGAUCCAGCCAUGCCGCGUGAAUGAUGAAGGCCUUCGGGUUGUAAAGUUCUUUUGGAGGGGACGAUGAUGACGGUACCCUCAGAAUAAGCUCCGGCUAACUUCGUGCCAGCAGCCGCGGUAAUACGAAGGGAGCUAGCGUUGUUCGGAAUUACUGGGCGUAAAGGGCGCGUAGGCGGUUUGGUUAGUCAGAUGUGAAAGCCCAGGGCUUAACCCUGGAACUGCGUUUGAUACUGCCAAGCUUGAAUUCGGGAGAGGUGAGUGGAAUUCCCAGUGUAGAGGUGAAAUUCGUAGAUAUUGGGAAGAACACCGGUGGCGAAGGCGGCUCACUGGACCGACAUUGACGCUGAGGCGCGAAAGCGUGGGGAGCAAACAGGAUUAGAAACCCUAGUAGUCC
RNAcentral lists this ribosomal RNA (425 nucleotides) under uncultured bacterium. RNAcentral describes it as "partial 16S ribosomal RNA". It matches the Rfam family "Bacterial small subunit ribosomal RNA", at positions 354 to 796 of the family's 1533-position model. The record is from RNAcentral.